AGUGAACGCUGGCGGUAGGCCUAACACAUGCAAGUCGAACGGCAGCACAGUAAGAGCUUGCUCUUACGGGUGGCGAGUGGCGGACGGGUGAGGAAUACAUCGGAAUCUACUUUUUCGUGGGGGAUAACGUAGGGAAACUUACGCUAAUACCGCAUACGACCUACGGGUGAAAGCAGGGGAUCUUCGGACCUUGCGCGAUUGAAUGAGCCGAUGUCGGAUUAGCUAGUUGGCGGGGUAAAGGCCCACCAAGGCGACGAUCCGUAGCUGGUCUGAGAGAAUGAUCAGCCACACUGGAACUGACACACGGUCCAGAGUCCUACGGGAGGCAGCAGUGGGGAAUAUUGGACAAUGGGCGCAAGCCUGAUCCAGCCAUACCGCGUGCGUGAAGAAGGCCUUCGGGUUGUAAAGCCCCUUUGUUGGGAAAGAAAAGCAGCAGGUUAAUACCCCGCUGUUCUGACGGUACCCAAAGAAUAAGCACCGGCUAACUUCGUG
This 492-nucleotide ribosomal RNA is filed under the name uncultured bacterium. RNAcentral describes it as "partial 16S ribosomal RNA". It matches the Rfam family "Bacterial small subunit ribosomal RNA", at positions 29 to 507 of the family's 1533-position model. The record is from RNAcentral.